Molecule: ribosomal RNA, 497 nt
Filed under: uncultured bacterium
Lineage: Bacteria
Description: partial 16S ribosomal RNA
Rfam family: Bacterial small subunit ribosomal RNA
Source: RNAcentral
GAUGAACGCUGGCGGCGUGCCUAAUACAUGCAAGUCGAGCGAACGGACGAGAAGCUUGCUUCUCUGAUGUUAGCGGCGGACGGGUGAGUAACACGUGGAUAACCUACCUAUAAGACUGGGAUAACUUCGGGAAACCGGAGCUAAUACCGGAUAAUAUUUUGAACCGCAUGGUUCAAAAGUGAAAGACGGUCUUGCUGUCACUUAUAGAUGGAUCCGCGCUGCAUUAGCUAGUUGGUAAGGUAACGGCUUACCAAGGCAACGAUGUAUAGCCGACCUGAGAGGGUGAUCGGCCACACUGGAACUGAGACACGGUCCAGACUCCUACGGGAGGCAGCAGUAGGGAAUCUUCCGCAAUGGGCGAAAGCCUGACGGAGCAACGCCGCGUGAGUGGUGAAGGUUUUCGGAUCGUAAAACUCUGUUAUUAGGGAAGAACAUAUGUGUAAGUAACUGUGCACAUCUUGACGGUACCUAAUCAGAAAGCCACGGCUAACUACGUG